GAUCAAGCGUUAAGGGCAUUUGGUGGAUGCCUUGGCACUGAGAGGCGAUGAAGGACGUGGCACGCUGCGAUAAGCCGCGGGGAGGUGCGAGCAACCUUUGAUCCGCGGAUUUCCGAAUGGGGAAACCCAGCCCUUAUGGGUCAUCGCUGGCUGAAUCCAUAGGUCAGCGAAGCGAACCCGGGGAACUGAAACAUCUCAGUACCCGGAGGAAAGGACAUCAACCGAGACUCCGCUAGUAGUGGCGAGCGAACGCGGACCAGGCCAGUGGCUCGUCGAAGAUCAACCGGAACCGUCUGGAAAGGCGGGCCAGAGUGGGUGACAGCCCCGUACGGGUAAUGUCUUCGACGGAUCCUCGAGUAGGGCGGGACACGUGAAAUCCUGUCUGAACAUGGGGGACCACCCUCCAAGCCUAAGUACUCCUCAGUGACCGAUAGUGAACGAGUACCGUGAGGGAAAGGUGAAAAGCACCCCGAUGAGGGGAGUGAAACAGUUCCUGAAACCGAAUGCCUACAAACAGUCGGAGCGGCCUUCGGGCCGUGACGGCGUACCUUUGUAUAAUGGGUCAGCGACUUAGUCUGACGAGCAAGCUUAAGCCGAUAGGCGGAGGCGCAGCGAAAGCGAGUCUGAACAGGGCGUUGAGUUCGUGGGAUUAGACCCGAAACCGAGUGAUCUAGCCAUGGGCAGGUUGAAGGUGCGGUAACACGCACUGGAGGACCGAACCCACGUCUGUUGAAAAAGACGGGGAUGACCUGUGGCUAGGGGUGAAAGGCCAAUCAAACUCGGAAAUAGCUGGUUCUCCGCGAAAACUAUUUAGGUAGAGCGUCGAGUGAUUACCGCCGGGGGUAGAGCACUGGAUGGGCUAGGGGGCCGCGAGCCUUACCAAACCUAACCAAACUCCGAAUACCGGCGAGUACAGCACGGCAGACAGACGGCGGGUGCUAAGGUCCGUCGUCGAGAGGGAAACAGCCCAGACCGCCAGCUAAGGUCCCCAAGUCGUGGCUAAGUGGGAAAGGAUGUGGGAAGGCCAAGACAACCAGGAGGUUGGCUUAGAAGCAGCCAUCCUUUAAAGAAAGCGUAAUAGCUCACUGGUCUAAACAAGCCGUCCUGCGCCGAAAAUGUACCGGGGCUCAAGCCACGCACCGAAGCUGCGGGUUGACCGACCUUCGGGACGGUCAGUGGUAGCGGAGCGUUCCGUAAGCCUGUGAAGGGGUCCCGUGAGGGGUCCUGGAGGUAUCGGAAGUGAGAAUGCUGACAUGAGUAGCGACAAACAGUGUGAGAAACACUGUCGCCGAAAGUCCAAGGGUUCCUGCGCAAGGUUAAUCCGCGCAGGGUGAGCCGGCCCCUAAGGCGAGGGCGAAAGCCGUAGUCGAUGGGAACCAGGUUAAUAUUCCUGGGCCUGCUGGUGGUGACGAAUGCCGUAAGUUGUCUGUCCUUAUCGGAUUGGGCGGGCAGCGAAGGCGUUCCGGGAAAUAGCCCCAGCGCGAGACCGUACCCGAAACCGACACAGGUGGACUGGUAGAGCAUACCAAGGCGCUUGAGAGAACGAUGCUGAAGGAACUCGGCAAAAUACCCUCGUAACUUCGGGAGAAGAGGGCCCGGGCCUUGGGCAACCAGGGUCCGGGGGCACAGACCAGGGGGUGGCGACUGUUUACUAAAAACACAGGGCUCUGCGAAGCCGCAAGGCGACGUAUAGGGUCUGACGCCUGCCCGGUGCCGGAAGGUUAAGAGGAGGGGUGCAAGCCCUGAAUCGAAGCCCCGGUAAACGGCGGCCGUAACUAUAACGGUCCUAAGGUAGCGAAAUUCCUUGUCGGGUAAGUUCCGACCUGCACGAAUGGCGUAACGACUUCCCCGCUGUCUCCAACAUCGACUCAGCGAAAUUGAAUUCCCCGUGAAGAUGCGGGGUACCCGCGGUUAGACGGAAAGACCCCGUGCACCUUUACUACAGCUUUGCAGUGGUAUUAGGGGAUGGAUGUGUAGGAUAGGUGGGAGGCUUUGAAGCCGCGGCGCCAGCCGGGGUGGAGCCACCCUUGAAAUACCACCCUUCUGUUCUCUGAUAUCUAACCGCGCCCGGUGAACCCGGGUCCGGGACCCUGCAUGGCGGGUAGUUUGACUGGGGCGGUCGCCUCCCAAAGAGUAACGGAGGCGCGCGAUGGUGGGCUCAGGCUGGUCGGAAAUCAGCCGUUGAGUGCAAUGGCAUAAGCCUGCCUGACUGCGAGACUGACAAGUCGAGCAGAGACGAAAGUCGGUCAUAGUGAUCCGGUGGUCCCACGUGGAAGGGCCAUCGCUCAACGGAUAAAAGGUACGCCGGGGAUAACAGGCUGAUCUCCCCCAAGAGUCCACAUCGACGGGGAGGUUUGGCACCUCGAUGUCGGCUCAUCACAUCCUGGGGCUGGAGCAGGUCCCAAGGGUAUGGCUGUUCGCCAUUUAAAGUGGUACGUGAGCUGGGUUUAGAACGUCGUGAGACAGUUCGGUCCCUAUCUGCCGUGGGUGUCGGAGAAUUGAGAGGAUCUGUCCCUAGUACGAGAGGACCGGGAUGUGGGGCCUGUUUUGGAGCGGGCCAGCCGCAAGGGAGGGUAGGGAGGAGCGGGGAGACCGAUAAAGGCAUCUAGCCAAACCCCCGAGAACCCUCUUCACCCUCGAGAACGGGGAACACCUGCCUAGGUGGGGGGUGGGGGGGGGGCGCGGUGACGCGGAGCUUACCAGUACUAAUAGCUCGAUCGGCUUGAUCGC
RNAcentral lists this ribosomal RNA (2730 nucleotides) under Gammaproteobacteria bacterium. RNAcentral describes it as "23S ribosomal RNA". It matches the Rfam family "Bacterial large subunit ribosomal RNA". Lineage: Bacteria; Pseudomonadati; Pseudomonadota; Gammaproteobacteria. The record is from RNAcentral.